GGAAGUUGUAGCAUGAAAGCUUUCGUAGACAGUACACAAAUGAGUAGGCACAGCAGUGUUCCAGCAAUAAUGUGAAAGCUGACUAAAAACAACUGUUAAUGUAUGUGGAAGUACAUCUUUAUUGAGGGUAAAAGUUUGGUGGAGAACUGUUGAACUAUAGAACAAUCUCAGUGUUUCCAAGCAAAUUAAUCAAACUCAAACAGAGGACUGUGGAAACCUCAACUCGAAGCCAGUCAGUGAGAAGUUCUGGAGGUGUGGAGUUUCAACUGGUUGGAAGGAGGAGGUGUUCUUGUGGGACUGAGCUCUCAACCUGUGGUUGCUGAGGCCAUUUCCAGGUAGACAGUGUCAGAAUUGAAUUGAAUUGGAGGACUUCCAGUUGGUGUCUGCUGCAGAAUAGAUUGCUUGCUUGGUGUAUGGAGAGAAACGUGCACACAUUUGGUCACAGAAGUCUUCCGUGUUGAUUGUUGCUGUUGAGAGAACAGAGGAAAAACACACCUUGAGUUGCUCUUUUCCACACUUAUCCCCCAUGUGCACACUAUCAACAAACACCAAGUACAGUUUCUGAAAUUCUUUUCUUUUUCUAUAUAGCUGUUCUGACUUGCUAAAUUUAUUAAUAAACAUUUUUUUACUUCUAAUGUGUAUAAAUUUUGCAUUUUAUUUUUCCAGGAACUUUUU
This 675-nucleotide long non-coding RNA is filed under the name Homo sapiens (human). RNAcentral describes it as "HSALNT0264586". Lineage: Eukaryota; Metazoa; Chordata; Mammalia; Primates; Hominidae. The record is from RNAcentral.